GUUUCUAUAGUUGAAUAACAACAAUGGUUUUUCAUGCCAUAGGUUGUGGUUAAAGUCCAUGUAGGAAUA
This 69-nucleotide transfer RNA is filed under the name Rhyncholestes raphanurus (Chilean shrew opossum). RNAcentral's name for it is "transfer RNA-Glu". It matches the Rfam family "tRNA". Rfam says of the family: Transfer RNA (tRNA) molecules are approximately 80 nucleotides in length. The record is from RNAcentral. Lineage: Eukaryota; Metazoa; Chordata; Mammalia; Paucituberculata; Caenolestidae.